GCGUCCGUAGCUCUAUUGGAUAGAGCACUGUUUUCCGAAAAUAGAGGUUGUAGGUUCGAAUCCUACCGGACGCA
Molecule: transfer RNA, 74 nt
Filed under: Candidatus Riesia pediculischaeffi
Lineage: Bacteria; Pseudomonadati; Pseudomonadota; Gammaproteobacteria; Enterobacterales; Enterobacteriaceae
Rfam family: tRNA
About the family: Transfer RNA (tRNA) molecules are approximately 80 nucleotides in length. Their secondary structure includes four short double-helical elements and three loops (D, anti-codon, and T loops).
Source: Rfam by way of RNAcentral